UCCCUGCCUUCUUGUAUUUCGUCUGCCCUACCCCGAUGCUUGGGAAAUCGUUUGUUCCGUGCUUCUCACGAGGAGAUGCCGGAUUUUCAGAGCUUGAAUAUGUCCUGCACCAGGGGAGAAGUAGCUUCGUGUGCCCCCAACCACUCCUUCCUUUUGAAUAGGAAUUCUAACUGCAGUUCAAACAGUAUUUCCUCCCCUUAAGAGACCACCUGGUUCGAAUGGUGAAGCUCUUUUGUAUGUGCAGCUCUUGGAAUCUCCUGAAAUAAAUAAUGAGCACAAAAAAAGGGAGAUGAAUUACCACCGAUGCUCUCCUGGGCCAGAGAAGACUUCUGAGCUGUCUCCAGAGCAAGCCAUCCUCCCAGCUGCCUGAGCCAGAAACAGACUAUCCUUGAUUGAUUGAUUACAUCGCGACGAUCAAUCACCACAUUGUGUCCAUUCUAACUUUCAGGUGUCUCAAGAAUACAUUCGCUUCCCUCUGUUCUCAGUUCAGCCACUACCAUCUUCCAUUGAAAUACUACAGCAAUUUCA
Herpailurus yagouaroundi (jaguarundi) is the source of this 528-nucleotide long non-coding RNA. RefSeq lists it as uncharacterized. The record is from RefSeq and is a predicted model, not a curated record. The transcript has 3 exons. Lineage: Eukaryota; Metazoa; Chordata; Mammalia; Carnivora; Felidae.